Sus scrofa (pig) is the source of this 1014-nucleotide non-coding RNA. NCBI's taxonomy places the organism in Eukaryota, Metazoa, Chordata, Mammalia, Artiodactyla, Suidae. The record is from RefSeq and is a predicted model, not a curated record.
UUCCAUUUUAUUUUCCUAUAGGUGCUACAGGUGCCUGCAUUUGUGUUGAGACUUGUCUUUGAAGCAACUUGCCCAUCUCAACAAGAUGCUUGCACUGUCUAUUGGCUUCUCUUUGCACCCUGGCUUCUGGAUUGAUCUUGAGUAUGGAUAUAAAACUCCUUCAGCUUAGCCAAAAUGUUAAGAACAAAGAAGGGACUACCAUAGACACAGUGUUUUUUGCUUCAGUAUGAAAGCAGCAUUAUGGCAGAUGCAGAGUUACAUGCAGUUCCUGGCCCAUGAAGACCUGUACUAGCUCUCUAUAAAUCUGUCCAGUGGCAGUCAAAGAAAUAGGAAUGGAUAUCAGGGUGGAGCCAGAAAAAGACGGAUGCCUAACAUAGCAAUUUAGGUCUGGAAUCAGGGAUCAAACAGUUACAGUUUUCUUACCAUCCCCUGGCUCCCCAUUAACCUCUUUUCUGAGAAGAUUUUUCCCUGGAACCUCUUCUCUUAAAGGUCUCUCCCAGAGGUGGCAUAUUCUCUCCUUAAACUCAGAGGAGCGGGAAUUUAAUCACCAUUGAUUCCAUUUGUAGAUACUAAUUAUGAAGAUAUAUGAGAAAGCUGCAUGUUUAUUAAACCAGUGAAGAGAUUCUCAGGUUCAAGUUUUGUUUUCAGCAGACUUAAUGAAGCAAAUCAAGAUUUACCAGUCCCCCGGACACUUCUUUAUUCUUUAGCGAAGGAAUUUGAAUGCAACAGUUACUGAUGAAGAAUGACAGAACAUUUUGGAUGAAGAAAGAUACUCUGAAUGGAAAAGGAGGGAAAAAAAGGAAGACAACAUGGCUGAACUAUUUUGAUACAAUCAUGAGUCAAAAAAAAAAAAAAAGGAGAUACAAUGAUGGGUGCUCAAGAUAAGUGUUUUGGGAGAAGAUUCAUAACUAAUAGAUUUUUUUUUCCUACUGAAAUACUGUGAUCAUGGUAUGUGGUGCUGCUCCUUUACCACACAUGUUUUCAAUAAAAUGACAAGAGCAUUUAUUUGGUAAA